GUGCUUGCUUCGGCAGCACAUAUACUGAAAUUAGGACGAUACAGAGAAGAUUAGCCCCUGUGCAAGGAUGAUACGUAAAUUUGUGAAGCAGUCCAUAUUUUU
Molecule: small nuclear RNA, 102 nt
Organism: Onychomys torridus (southern grasshopper mouse)
Lineage: Eukaryota; Metazoa; Chordata; Mammalia; Rodentia; Cricetidae
Source: RefSeq, a predicted model, not a curated record